RNAcentral lists this ribosomal RNA (786 nucleotides) under uncultured bacterium. RNAcentral describes it as "bacterial SSU rRNA". It matches the Rfam family "Bacterial small subunit ribosomal RNA", at positions 8 to 796 of the family's 1533-position model. The record is from RNAcentral.
AGAGUUUGAUCCUGGCUCAGAACGAACGCUGGCGGCGUGCUUAACACAUGCAAGUCGAGUGCGCGCCUGUAGCAAUACAGGUGGCGCACGGCGCACGGGUGCGUAACACGUGGGCAAUCUGCCCUCUGAUGGGGAAUAACCCGCCGAAAGGCGGGCUAAUACCGCAUAAAAUUCCUUGGACUCAUGUUCGAGGACUCAAAGGCGUAAGUCGUCGGAGGAGGAGCCCGCGCACGAUUAGCUAGUUGGUAGGGUAAUGGCCUACCAAGGCUUUGAUCGUUAGCUGGUCUGAGAGGAUGGCCAGCCACACUGGAACUGAGACACGGUCCAGACUCCUACGGGAGGCAGCAGUGGGGAAUCUUGCACAAUGGGCGAAAGCCUGAUGCAGCGACGCCGCGUGGGGGAUGAAGCAUUUCGGUGUGUAAACCCCUUUCGAUCCGGACGAAUACCUCGCAAGAGGGGUGACGGUACGGAUAUAAGAAGCCCCGGCUAACUACGUGCCAGCAGCCGCGGUAAGACGUAGGGGGCCAGCGUUGUUCGGAAUUACUGGGUGUAAAGGGUUCGUAGGCGGUGUGGCAAGUUGGGAGUGAAAUCUCUGGGCUCAACCCAGAGACUGCUUCCAAAACUGCUGUGCUUGAGUGUGAGAGAGGCUCGUGGAAUUGCAGGUGUAGCGGUGAAAUGCGUAGAUAUCUGCAGGAACACCCGUGGCGAAAGCGGCGAGCUGGAUCACUACUGACGCUGAGGAACGAAAGCUAGGGGAGCAAACAGGAUUAGAUACCCUAGUAGUCC